RNAcentral lists this non-coding RNA (46 nucleotides) under Schistosoma haematobium. Lineage: Eukaryota; Metazoa; Platyhelminthes; Trematoda; Strigeidida; Schistosomatidae. The record is from RNAcentral.
CCACUGCUGAAGAGUCCCACAAUAGGACGAAACGGCCGUUCAAUGC